RNAcentral lists this ribosomal RNA (502 nucleotides) under uncultured bacterium. Its description in RNAcentral is "partial 16S ribosomal RNA". It matches the Rfam family "Bacterial small subunit ribosomal RNA", at positions 28 to 507 of the family's 1533-position model. The record is from RNAcentral.
GACGAACGCUGGCGGCGUGCUUAACACAUGCAAGUCGAACGGUGAAGGGGUCUGCUUUUGUGGGCCCUGGAUGAGUGGCGCACGGGUGAGUAACACGUGAGUAACCUGCCCCCUUCUUCUGGAUAACCGCAUGAAAGUGUGGCUAAUACGGGAUAUUCUGGGUCUGUCGCAUGAUGGGUCUGGGAAAGAUUGCGCCUUUGGGUGUUUUUGGUGGGGGAUGGGCUCGCGGCCUAUCAGCUUGUUGGUGGGGUGAUGGCCUACCAAGGCGGUGACGGGUAGCCGGCCUGAGAGGGUGGACGGUCACACUGGGACUGAGACACGGCCCAGACUCCUACGGGAGGAAGCAGUGGGGAAUAUUGCACAAUGGGCGCAAGCCUGAUGCAGCGACGCCGCGUGAGGGAUGGAGGCCUUCGGGUUGUAAACCUCUUUCGCCAGUGAAGCAGGCCUGCUCCUUGUGGGUGGGUUGACGGUAGCUGGAUAAGAAGCGCCGGCUAACUACGUG